GUUUGAGAUUUGAGAGGGGCUGCUCCUAGUACGAGAGGACCGGAGUGGACGAACCUCUGGUGUUCCGGUUGUCACGCCAGUGGCAUUGCCGGGUAGCUAUGUUCGGGAAAGAUAACCGCUGAAAGCAUCUAAGCGGGAAACUUGCCUCAAGAUGAGAUCUCACUGGAACCUUGAGUUCCCUGAAGGGCCGUCGAAGACUACGACGUUGAUAGGUUGGGUGUGUAAGCGCUGUGAGGCGUUGAGCUAACCAAUACUAAUUGCCCGUGAGGCUUGACCAUAUAACACCCAAGCAAUU
RNAcentral lists this ribosomal RNA (295 nucleotides) under Pseudomonas moraviensis. Its description in RNAcentral is "partial 23S ribosomal RNA". It matches the Rfam family "Bacterial large subunit ribosomal RNA", at positions 2652 to 2925 of the family's 2925-position model. The record is from RNAcentral. Lineage: Bacteria; Pseudomonadati; Pseudomonadota; Gammaproteobacteria; Pseudomonadales; Pseudomonadaceae.